Molecule: ribosomal RNA, 449 nt
Filed under: uncultured bacterium
Lineage: Bacteria
Description: partial 16S ribosomal RNA
Rfam family: Bacterial small subunit ribosomal RNA
Source: RNAcentral
AACGAACGCUGGCGGCAUGCCUAACACAUGCAAGUCGAACGAGAUCUUCGGGUCUAGUGGCGCACGGGUGCGUAACGCGUGGGAAUCUGCCCUUUGGUUCGGAAUAACAGUUGGAAACGACUGCUAAUACCGGAUGAUGACGAAAUUCCAAAGAUUUAUCGCCAGAGGAUGAGCCCGCGUAGGAUUGGCUAGUUGGUGUGGUAAAGGCGCACCAAGGCGACGAUCCUUAGCUGGUCUGAGAGGAUGAUCAGCCACACUGGGACUGAGACACGGCCCAGACUCCUACGGGAGGCAGCAGUGGGGAAUAUUGGACAAUGGGCGAAAGCCUGAUCCAGCAAUGCCGCGUGAGUGAUGAAGGCCUUAGGGUUGUAAAGAUCUUUGACCCGGGAUGAUAAUGACGGUACCGGGAGAAUAAGCUCCGGCUAACUCCGUGCCAGCCGCCGCUGUAA